UAAAGGCUUACCAAGGCGACCAUCGGUAGCUGGUCUGAGAGGAUGAUCAGCCACACUGGGAAUGAGAACGGCCCAGACUCCUACGGGGGCAGCAGUGAGGAAUUUUCCGCAAUGGACGCAAGUCUGACGGAGCAACGCCGCGUGCAGGAAGACGGCCUUCGGGUUGUAAACUGCUUUUCUGAGAGACGAGCAAGGACGGUAUCUCAGGAAGAAGCCCCGGCUAACUACGUGCCAGCAGCCGCGGUAAUACGUAGGGGGCAAGCGUUGUCCGGAGUUACUGGGCGUAAAGCGCUCGCAGGCGGUUCUCUCAGUUCCUGCUGACAGUCGUCGGCUUCACUGACGAAGGCGUGGGAAGACGGGAGAACUUGAGGGCUUCAGAGGGACACGGAAUUCCGGGUGGAGUGGUGAAAUG
RNAcentral lists this ribosomal RNA (412 nucleotides) under uncultured soil bacterium. RNAcentral describes it as "bacterial SSU rRNA". It matches the Rfam family "Bacterial small subunit ribosomal RNA", at positions 258 to 688 of the family's 1533-position model. The record is from RNAcentral.